This 1081-nucleotide long non-coding RNA is filed under the name Olea europaea (common olive). RNAcentral's name for it is "long non-coding RNA (OEUR_LNC015481)". Lineage: Eukaryota; Viridiplantae; Streptophyta; Magnoliopsida; Lamiales; Oleaceae. The record is from RNAcentral.
CUUUACCUUAAGUUCUGCAACCAAAACAAACACAAAAAUUUUGGCAGCAAUUAAUAAUUUUCCCCCCAAAAAAGAUACUGGAAGUCAGUAAAGCAGCCAUAUAAAUAAAUAUUUUAAAGAAUGUCCUGAAAGGACUUUUACGAGAGCUAGAAGGCAGGUUCCCUAUCCCAUAUGUGAAUUGAAUUCGACCACUGAAGCUUCAGAGAAUCUAUAUAUUGUUUAUUAGCUAGCUGAUUAAAAGGAAGAUAGGGCUAAUUCUAUCCAGAGAAUCAAAACAAACACCAAUGCCACCAAUUAUUCAGUCGAACCCCUUUGUCAUAUAGUAAUUGAGCUCAAUUUCAGAAUUAAUAUCUCCCAACCUCUAGUUAGUGCCAUUCACUAAGAUUAAUCAAAAUCCACAUGCUCCAUAAAUUAUCAAGCCGAAUUCCAAAUUUUCUUCAGAAAGAAGGAAUAUUACCUCUACCAGAUGAAAAGGAAAGUGCGCAUAUGAUAAUUGCCACAAUCAUCCACCCCCUUCUUUCCAUACUCUGCCAAAAAUUUUAAAAAUAAAUAAAUAAAUAAUAACAACUUAAACUCUCAAGACAAGUUAACCCCUUGAUUAAUUACAGAACAAAUUUAGCGCAAAAAAAGUACAAAAUUAACCUCCUUAAAAGGUCUGUAAGUUAAUUCAAUUCUUCAAAUUUGAUGAAUUCCGGUGAUCGUAAAAAGACGCAGAUUUUCGGGGAUGAGAAGGGGCAAAACGACGACGGAUCACAAAGGCUCGACCUUUUACGGCUAUGGUGAAUUCGUACAAGAUGAGCUUGUUGCCUCUUAUGACUAUGGUGAAUUCCAACUUUUUAAACCGGAGAGAGACUGAAAUUCCGAAGUUACCCCGGUUUAUGAGACUUUUGCCGGCGGCUUAUUGCCUUGGCAGGUGGAAUUCUGGGUUUAAGAUGGGGGUGAUUUCGUAAUUUCACGGAACUGGGGCGUGUAGACGGCGGGUUGAGGUGGAGAUGAUGAUCUUUACUUCGUGGGCUCCAGCAGAUCCCUUACAGGGAUAUCACAUGGGUUACAUUUCAAAAGGAUCUAAUCAAAAGAACAC